This 466-nucleotide ribosomal RNA is filed under the name uncultured bacterium. RNAcentral's name for it is "partial 16S ribosomal RNA". It matches the Rfam family "Bacterial small subunit ribosomal RNA", at positions 28 to 507 of the family's 1533-position model. The record is from RNAcentral.
GAUGAACGCUGGCGGCGUGCUUAACACAUGCAAGUCGAACGGAAAGGCUCCUGCUUGCAGGGGUACUCGAGUGGCGAACGGGUGAGUAACACGUGGGUGAUCUGCCCUGCACUUCGGGAUAAGCUUGGGAAACUGGGUCUAAUACCGGAUAGGACCGCAUUUUGGAUGGUGUGGUGGAAAGUUUUUUCGGUGUGGGAUGAGCUCGCGGCCUAUCAGCUUGUUGGUGGGGUAAUGGCCUACCAAGGCGUCGACGGGUAGCCGGCCUGAGAGGGUGUACGGCCACAUUGGGACUGAGAUACGGCCCAGACUCCUACGGGAGGCAGCAGUGGGGAAUAUUGCACAAUGGGCGCAAGCCUGAUGCAGCGACGCCGCGUGGGGGAUGACGGCCUUCGGGUUGUAAACUCCUUUCGCUAGGGACGAGGAGUAAUUGACGGUACCUGGAGAAGAAGCACCGGCUAACUACGUG